CAAGCAAGCUGGACAGCCGCGUGAACAGUGCCGAAAGGCCGUUCAUGAGGAAAGUCCGGGCUCCGUAGGGCAAGGAUAACGGAUAACAUCCGCCGGGGGCGACCCUAGGAAAAGUGCAACAGAGAAAUACCGCCUUGCCGGCCUUGUGCCGCGAGGUAAGGGUGGAAAGGCGAGGUAAGAGCUCACCCGAUGGCUGGAGACUGCCCAUCGCUGUAAACUCUAUCCGGAGCAACACCGUGGAGGGACAUAUGGCUGGCCCGGCCGUCCCAUGGAGGUGGCUGGAACGCGUUGGCAACGGCGCGUCUAGAUAGAUGGCUGUCUUAAAAGACAGAACCCGGCUUACAGGCUUACUUGCAAC
This 358-nucleotide RNase P RNA is filed under the name Intestinimonas butyriciproducens. RNAcentral describes it as "RNase P RNA component class A". It matches the Rfam family "Bacterial RNase P class A". Rfam says of the family: Ribonuclease P (RNase P) is a ubiquitous endoribonuclease, found in archaea, bacteria and eukarya as well as chloroplasts and mitochondria. Its best characterised activity is the generation of mature 5'-ends of tRNAs by cleaving the 5'-leader elements of precursor-tRNAs. Lineage: Bacteria; Bacillati; Bacillota; Clostridia; Eubacteriales. The record is from RNAcentral.